Long non-coding RNA from Papaver somniferum (opium poppy), 364 nucleotides. RefSeq lists it as uncharacterized. NCBI's taxonomy places the organism in Eukaryota, Viridiplantae, Streptophyta, Magnoliopsida, Ranunculales, Papaveraceae. The record is from RefSeq and is a predicted model, not a curated record. The transcript has 3 exons.
UCUCUUUCUCCCUUUUACGGGUUGAGAUCCAAAAAAGGACUUCAUAUUUUGUUGAUAAUCAAUGGUAAUCAAAUUGCUAAAGAAGUUUUCGAAUUUUUGAUUUCGUUGCCGCUUGAGAACUUAAGUUAUUCAAUUAUAGUGUUGACCAGUUCCACUUCAAGAAGAUUAACUUGAUUUGCUCUAGUGGAUAUUGCUAACCAAUUGUUGGGAUAUUUCCAUUGCAAGGAAUGAACAACAAGAUCGGAAUGAAGUUUCAUUUUUAUUUUAUUUUUCAUUUUUCUCUAAAUUAUGAUGUAUCAUUUAUGUAUGUAAUGAAUGUAUUGAGUAAAUUAUAUUAUAUAUAUGUACCAAAUUGCAUAUGAAA